UCGGGGUUUCGUACGUAGCAGAGCAGC
Molecule: non-coding RNA, 27 nt
Filed under: Gallus gallus (chicken)
Lineage: Eukaryota; Metazoa; Chordata; Aves; Galliformes; Phasianidae
Also listed under: 5 other names
Source: RNAcentral